AGCUCCAAUAGCGUAUACUAAAGUUGUUGCAGUUAAAAAGCUCGUAGUUGAAUUUCUGGUCUCGGACAUCGGUCUGCCUCAAACGAGGUACGCACCAGUUGUCUGAAUCCAUCCUCGGAGAAAACGUGUCUGUCAUUCAGUUGAUGGGCUCGGGAUCUUCGUCAUUUACUGUGAGCAAAAUAGAGUGUUCAAAGCAGGCUUAUGCCGUUGAAUACAUUAGCAUGGAAUAAUAAGAUAAGACCUUGGUCUAUUUUGUUGGUUUGUACUCCAAGGUAAUGAUUAAUAGGGAUAGUUGGGGGUAUUCGUAUUCAAUUGUCAGAGGUGAAAUUCUUGGAUUUAUGGAAGACGAACUACUGCGAAAGCAUUUACCAAGGAUGUUUUCAUUAAUCAAGAACGAAAG
This 400-nucleotide ribosomal RNA is filed under the name phytoplankton environmental sample. Its description in RNAcentral is "partial small subunit ribosomal RNA". It matches the Rfam family "Eukaryotic small subunit ribosomal RNA", at positions 587 to 989 of the family's 1831-position model. The record is from RNAcentral.